CCCUGCACUUGUGGUCUGUGAUCUACUCCCAGUUGGCACUUGAACUUUAUCACUAAGGUGAUUUUCAAGUUUCCUAAUGUCAAUAACAACUCUCUACAAGGUUUAAUUUGAUGAGAAGAUCCAGAGUCAACAAUCCACUCAUAAGUAAAAAUAUUGGAUAACAAUGAAUGUAUACCUGCCAUGUUAGAUACACAUUCACCUAGGUGAUCUUGUUUGCCAAUCAAUUCCUGAUACUGUUGCUCUGUGAGAAAGUAACCUGAUCCAUGACUGGGAUGGUAUGGUCUUGAACUUUGCAGAUUGUUUGAUUUUGUAUUGGAGCUAGAGUUGGCUAUUGGUUUUGAACUGUGCAAGUGGUGUCUGAUGUGCCUACUGGGAGGACUUCCUCCUGCUCUUGAAGUCCUGAGGAUAGCCGACUACUCUAUAGCAAUAAUCCUUCAGAUGAACUUUGUAACCACAGUGAAUGCAAGGAAUUCCUCCACCUAUAGCUCCUAUAGAUCCUCCAGAGUUUCCCUGCUUCUUUGGUCUGUAACCUUGAGUCCUACCAGCCAACAUUGUCAAGGGAUCCUUGUGAACAUCAACUACACCCAAUGAUAUUUUGCCCUCCUCUUGAGUCAUGAUCGCAUAGGCUUCAUUCA
Molecule: long non-coding RNA, 635 nt
Filed under: Solanum tuberosum (potato)
Lineage: Eukaryota; Viridiplantae; Streptophyta; Magnoliopsida; Solanales; Solanaceae
Description: long non-coding RNA (STUB_LNC010618)
Source: RNAcentral